GACGAACGCUGGCGGCGUGCUUAACACAUGCAAGUCGAACGGAAAGGCCCUGCUUUUGUGGGGUGCUCGAGUGGCGAACGGGUGAGUAACACGUGAGUAACCUGCCCUUGACUUUGGGAUAACUUCAGGAAACUGGGGCUAAUACCGGAUAGGAGCUCCUGCUGCAUGGUGGGGGUUGGAAAGUUUCGGCGGUUGGGGAUGGACUCGCGGCUUAUCAGCUUGUUGGUGGGGUAGUGGCUUACCAAGGCUUUGACGGGUAGCCGGCCUGGGAGGGUGACCGGCGAAGUGGGGAAUGAGGAACGGGCCGGACCGGUAGGGGAGGCACAAGCGGGGAACGUUGCACAGUGGGCGGAGUCGUAAUGCGGUAUCGCCGGGGGCGGGAGGAGGGCGAUGGGAUUGGAAACCGAGUCAGCCGGGAACGAAGAGCAAGUGACGGUAAUGGGCAAAGAAGCACCGGCGAACUAGGUG
Molecule: ribosomal RNA, 468 nt
Filed under: uncultured bacterium
Lineage: Bacteria
Description: partial 16S ribosomal RNA
Rfam family: Bacterial small subunit ribosomal RNA
Source: RNAcentral